AAUGACGGGCUUGACUUACCCGAAGGGAUUUCUCUAGUUUUGCUGAGAAACGGCGACCACAUCUAGGAAGGCAGCAGGCGCGCAAUUACCCAAUCCUAAUACAGGGAGGUAGUGACAAGAAAUAACAAUACAGGACUUUUUGGUUUUGUAAUUGGAAUGAGUUAAGUAUAAACCCCUUUACAAGUAUCAAUUGGAGGGCAAGUCUGA
Molecule: ribosomal RNA, 207 nt
Filed under: Cryptosporidium meleagridis
Lineage: Eukaryota; Apicomplexa; Conoidasida; Eucoccidiorida; Cryptosporidiidae
Description: partial 18S ribosomal RNA
Rfam family: Eukaryotic small subunit ribosomal RNA
Source: RNAcentral